AAAGGCAUUAUUAUUGUACAAAUCCCAGGCAUAGGGAGGAAAUCACAGUAUGAGUGAAAAAUGGGUUGGUAAGAAAAGGGGCACUGCAGAACUUGGGCCAAGGAACUCAGAUGCUGUGUGUUCAGAGAGAUCAAAGGAAUCUGAAGGAAAUUACUAAUCCCAAUCAGGUGGAAAUGAGUGAAUCUGUGCUCCAUAAAUAUAUAGAAAUAUACCUGCUGUUCAUAGAAAAUCUCUUGGCAAAAAGAUCAAAGGACUUCAGAGAUAUUUUCCAUGACAUGCUCAUGAGAUUGAAUGGCGUGGGGACAGGUCUUCUCUUAUCCCUGUUGUCCAGUGAGGAAGUUGAAGAUACAGAGACAGAACAUGAAGUAAUUAGCAGAAAACAGAAGCCAUCUAACAAGGUGCGUUGCACUUAUGGGAACUUGCCGUUGGCUGAUGAAAUGCAGGCCUGCCAUAAUUAGAGAGAUCACUAUUUCACUAUGGGGGAAAGGGUCAAAGAAUAAUUCCUGGGGAAUAAUCACAAUGAUCAGGAUGGGAGUAGGAAGAAGAAUCACAGAAGGAGACAUAACCUUUUGACUAAGCUGUUGAAGACUACUAAACCAAACUUCAACUCCCUAGAAAAGGAAGCGUUGCUGACUCCAUUCAAACAGAGGAAGUGACUGACCAUUGGAUCACAGAUUUAAUACUAGAAGAAACUUUUGAGACCCACUUGUCCAACUCACUCAUUUUGAAGAUGAAGAAAAAGGACUUGUUCAAGGUCGUAUAGUCAUAUAUGUCACUGAGUACAAUAGACAGGUUUUUGAAUCCAAAUCCUCUGACUCCCAAAACAGCAUUCUUCUCAUUGUAGCACUAUAAAAGGGUCAUAUAUCUAGGAUCUUGGAGAAUUUGUAUUGAGGAAGGAAAGAAGAGAGAGGAGAGAAGAGGAGAAGAGAGGAGACGAAAGAAAAGGAGAGGAGAGGAAGGAAGAGGAAAAUAAAAAGACAAAGAAGAGUCA
Molecule: long non-coding RNA, 991 nt
Filed under: Monodelphis domestica (gray short-tailed opossum)
Lineage: Eukaryota; Metazoa; Chordata; Mammalia; Didelphimorphia; Didelphidae
Description: lncRNA (ENSMODG00000030183.2)
Source: RNAcentral